RNAcentral lists this ribosomal RNA (1570 nucleotides) under Eleutherodactylus bothroboans. RNAcentral describes it as "partial 16S ribosomal RNA". It matches the Rfam family "Bacterial large subunit ribosomal RNA", at positions 377 to 2925 of the family's 2925-position model. Lineage: Eukaryota; Metazoa; Chordata; Amphibia; Anura; Eleutherodactylidae. The record is from RNAcentral.
CCAACAAUCUAGCCUAAACUACAACUGUUACCUUAAAAUAAAAAUCAAAAUAUUUUUAUAUCUUAGUAAGAACGACCAAAAAAUUAAUUAGAGCAAUAGAUAAAACCGCAAGGUAAAAUGAAAUAGAAAUGAAACAACACUCAAGUAUAAAAAAGUAAAGAUAAACACUUGUACCUUUUGCAUCAUGGUUUAACUAGUUUAAUCAAGCAAAAAGACUUAUAGUCUGCCCCCCCGAAACCAAGUGAGCUACCCCAGGACAGCUUAAUGAGCAAACCCGUCUCUGUCGCAAAAGAGUGGGAAGAUCCUAGGGUAGAGGUGAUAUACCUAACGAACUUGGCGAUAGCUGGUUUUUCAGGAAAAGAAUCUUAGUUCAACCUAAAGUUAUUUAAAUAAAAAUAAAUAUAAAACUUGACUUUAGAGCUAUUCAAAUAAGUCACAGCCUAUUUGAUACAGGAUACAACCUACACCUUUGGGUAACAACAUAAUACAACUAACUAAGUAGGCCUAAAAGCAGCCACCUUCUAAAAAGCGUUAAAGCUUUAUUAACUAAACAAUAAUAUCCCUAAAAUUUUAAAGAACCCUACACUAAUACUGAAAGAUCCUAUACCCCUAUAGAACUCUCUAUGUUAAAACUAGUAAUAAGAAAACAUUUCUCUUACCAACGCAAAUGUAAACCAAAAUGGAACAUCCACUGAUAAUUAACAGCCAUAAACCAAAGUAACACCAAACCGAGAAAACCCUACUUUAACAACUGUUAACCUUACACAAGAGCGUUUAAAGAAAGAUUAAAAGAAAAGGAAGGAACUCGGCAAACACUGAUUCCGCCUGUUUACCAAAAACAUCGCCUCUUGAUAAUAUAUAAGAGGUCCAGCCUGCCCAGUGACCUAGUUCAACGGCCACGGUAUCCUAACCGUGCGAAGGUAGCAUAAUCACCUGUUUUUUAAUUGAAGACCAGUAUGAAAGGCACCACGAGAAUCUCACUGUCUCCCUUCUCUAAUCAAUGAAACUAAUCUCCCCGUGAAAAAGCAGGGAUAUUUCUACAAGACGAGAAGACCCUUUGGAGCUUAAGAUAAUAGUAUAAUUAUUGCUAUUAACCUUCACCCACCAACCUAAAAUAGCAUUUAUUUACAAGUCUUUGGUUGGGGCAACCGCGGAGUAAAAAAUAACCUCCAAGAUGAAAAGAACUUUUCUUAAACAAAAAGUUACAACUUUAUGUAUCAACAAAAUGACAUCAAUUGACCCAAUAUUUUGAUUAACGAACCAAGUUACCCUAGGGAUAACAGCGCAAUCCACUUCGAGAGUUCAUAUCGACAAGUGGGCUUACGACCUCGAUGUUGGAUCAAGGUAUCCUAGUGGUGCAGCCGCUACUAAAGGUUCGUUUGUUCAACGAUUAAAACCUCACGUGAUCUGAGUUCAGACCGGAGUAAUCCAGGUCAGUUUCUAUCUGUAAAGAGUUAUUUCCAGUACGAAAGGACAGAAAUAACAUGGCCUCUUUUAUAAUUACGCCAUUCACCAACUUAUGAUAUUUCUUAACAAGUUAAAUCUACCACUUUACUCAAGAACAGAGAAA